ACGUAAACAAAAACUUGCCCACUGCCCACUGAAGCUAAGCAGGGCUGAGCCUGGUCAGUACCUGGAUGGGAGACCUCCUGGGAAAACUAGGUUGCUGCAUC
Molecule: ribosomal RNA, 101 nt
Filed under: Sinocyclocheilus anshuiensis
Lineage: Eukaryota; Metazoa; Chordata; Actinopteri; Cypriniformes; Cyprinidae
Source: RNAcentral